UGCCCACGUUGGAGUGCAGUGUCAUGAUCUCGGCUCACGGCAACCUCUGCCUCCCAGGUUCAAGUGAUUCUCUUGCCUCAACCUCCCGAGUAGCUGGGAUUACAGGGUGACAGACAAACUGAUCUUGAGAACCCAUGACAAGGGUCUUGUUCUGCUGCACAGGCUGGAGUGCAGUGGCACAAUCAGGGCUCACUGAAGCCUUGCACUCUCAGGCUCAAGCAAUUCUUCCACCUCAGCCUCCCUAAUAGCUGGGACCACAGGUGCGUGCCACCAUGCCAGGUUAAUUUUUUUAAUUUUUUUUUUUGUAGAGACGAGGUCUCACUAUGUUGCCCAGGCUGAUCUUGAACUCCUGGGCUCAAGCAAUCCUCCUGCCUUGGCCUCCAAAAGUGCUGGGAUUGCAGACGUAAGCCACUGUGCCUGGCCUAAAAUAAUCUAAAACUCAAAAAUUUCACCUUGUA
Gorilla gorilla gorilla (western lowland gorilla) is the source of this 458-nucleotide long non-coding RNA. RefSeq lists it as uncharacterized. The transcript is spliced from 3 exons. The record is from RefSeq and is a predicted model, not a curated record. Lineage: Eukaryota; Metazoa; Chordata; Mammalia; Primates; Hominidae.